AGUGUAUGCUUUUCCUAAAGAUUAAGCCAUGCAUGCCUUCGAAUAAGAGGAAGCAAUUCUCUCUGAAUCUGCGAACGGCUCCGCAAACCAGUUGUAAACAGAGGCAAGUCCCGCUCUUGAUUGGCCCUUUCGGGGGCUGGUCCUGGGCAUUUAUAUGGAUACCCGUGGUAAUUCUGAGGCUAAUACAUGACAAUAAUACCCUGCCGUCGGUCUGCCGGUGCCCCUCGGGGUGCCGGAUGUGAUUGGUGGCGGGGGACGCGCGACAUAUGGCUGGGUAGCUCGGGAAAGAACGCGCGUUCGGACCACCGCUUGCGGGCCUUGCGUAGGAAGGGUGCGGCUUGCCGUGCUUGGACUUGCUUGGCCUGGUGGCUCUUGCUGCGUGCUUCUGACCUAUCAACUAGAUGGCAGCAUAAGGGACAUGCCAUGGUGACAACGGGUACAGAGGAUCAGGGUUCGAUCCUGGAGAGUGGGCCUGAGAGAUUGCUCAUACUUCUAAGGAAGGCAGCAGGCGCGCAACGUUCCCAAUGGACAACGUCUGAGGGCGUUAGGGGACAUAUGAAUGGCUGCACUAGUUGUGGCCAAUUCAAAUGGGUUUGUCGUAAACAGACUCUCGAGUAACAAUUAGAGGACAAGUCUGGUGCCAGCACCCGCGGUAAUUCCAGCUCUAAUAGCAUACGUUAAAGUUGUUGCAGUUAAAACGCUCGUAGUCGGCUUCAGGCCGCCAGAAUCUGGCGUCGAGUGCACGGGUCUGUGUUCCUCCGGGAACGCGCCGGGCGCGAGGCAAAGGUGGACGGCGGUCAAUAGUGCUCGUCCGCGUGCCCCUCUCGGGGGGCUUACAGGGCCGUUGAACGUUCUUGGGUGACGCCUGGCUUCGGCUGGGCUAGUCCUUGGGCUAAGGCGGUCUGGCGGCGGGUGCCAUUUGCCAUGAUUAAACUGGGGUGAUUAAAGCAGGCCAUUCGGCCAUUGAACAGAUCAGCAUGGCAUAAGCAUAGGUUUGCCCAUUCCCAUGGCCGGGGGGGCAGGCCGACUGCUGCAAAAGGAGUGUUCGGGGGUGACCGAAUUGCCGGGCGAGUGGUGAAAUACGUUGACCCUGGCAAGUCGACCAAAAGCGAAGGCAGUCAUCAAGGGCACAUCCAUUGAUCAAGAGCGAAAGUUAAGGGUUCGAAAACGAUCAGAUACCGUUGUAGUCUUAACUAUAAAUGAUACUGGCCAGGGAUAGGGCAGUGUCCAUCUCGACUCCCUCCGGACUUUAGGGAAACCAAAGCCUUUGAGUUCUGGGGGGAGUAUGGUCGCAAGGCUGAAACUUAAAGGAAUUGACGGAAGGGCACACAAAGAGUGGAACCUGCGGCUUAAUUUGACUCAACACGGGGAAACUUACCAGGUCAAGAUACACGGAUGAAGGACAAGCUGAUAGACUUUUCCCAAUGAUGUAAGUGGUGGUGCAUGGCCGUUCUUAGUGCGUGGAGUGGUUUGUCUGGUCUAUUCCGAUAACGCGCGAGACCCCGACGCUUUAAGUAGGUGCGGUAGCCCGGUUUGGCGAACUACUAGUGGUCUAGUAGCCCCGGUUCGCCGGGGCGAACGGCGUGCUAGCGCCUUGCCAGCAGCCGCCCUGCGCAAGCAAUUUCUUCUUAGACGGAUCGAGGCCGACAAGGUCUCUGAAAUGGGUUAAUAACAGGUCAGUCAUGCCCUUAGAUGUUCUGGGCCGCACGCGCGUUACAAUGGCAUGCAAAACGAGUGUUCGUUACGAGCUUUCCCAGGGCCGACAGGGUCUGGCAAACCCUAAGGCAUGCCUCGACUGGGCUAGACUCUUGCAAUUAUGGGUCUUAAACGAGGAAUUUUUAGUAUUCGCGGGUCAUCAACCCGCGGGUAAUGCGUCCCUGCCCUUUGUACACACCGCCCGUCGCUGCUACCGAUUGGGUUUUACGGUUACGCGUUCGGAGGUCGAGUUGACCGCCACCUUCGGGUGGUGGGACGCCCGGCCAAAGUUCGAAUACC
Molecule: ribosomal RNA, 1995 nt
Filed under: Comatricha nigra
Lineage: Eukaryota; Evosea; Eumycetozoa; Stemonitida; Stemonitidae
Description: SSU rRNA
Rfam family: Eukaryotic small subunit ribosomal RNA
Source: RNAcentral